GACGAACGCUGGCGGCGUGCUUAACACAUGCAAGUCGAACGGAAAGGCCCUGCUUUUGUGGGGUGCUCGAUUGGCGAACGGGUGAGUAACACGUGAGUAACCUGCCCUUGACUUUGGGAUAACUUCAGGAAACUGGGGCUAAUACCGGAUAGGAUCUCCUGCUGCGUGGUGUGGGUUGGAAAGUUUCGGCGGUUGGGGAUGGACUCGCGGCUUAUCAGCUUGUUUGUGGGGUAGUGGCUUACCAAGGCUUUGACGGGUAGCCGGCCUGAGAGGGUGACCGGCCACAUGGGGACUGAGAUACGGCCCAGACUCCUACGGGAGGCAGCAGUGGGGAAUAUUGCACAAUGGGCGGAAGCCUGAUGCAGCAACGCUGCGUGCGGGAUGACGGCCUUCGGGUUGUAAACCGCUUUCGCCUGUGACGAAGCGUGAGUGACGGUAAUGGGUAAAGAAGCACCGGCUAACUACGUG
Molecule: ribosomal RNA, 468 nt
Filed under: uncultured bacterium
Lineage: Bacteria
Description: partial 16S ribosomal RNA
Rfam family: Bacterial small subunit ribosomal RNA
Source: RNAcentral